This 1022-nucleotide ribosomal RNA is filed under the name uncultured bacterium. RNAcentral describes it as "bacterial SSU rRNA". It matches the Rfam family "Bacterial small subunit ribosomal RNA", at positions 37 to 1025 of the family's 1533-position model. The record is from RNAcentral.
UGGCGGCGUGCCUAAUACAUGCAAGUCGAGCGAGCGGAACUAACAGAUUUACUUCGGUAAUGACGUUAGGAAAGCGAGCGGCGGAUGGGUGAGUAACACGUGGGGAACCUGCCCCAUAGUCUGGGAUACCACUUGGAAACAGGUGCUAAUACCGGAUAAGAAAGCAGAUCGCAUGAUCAGCUUUUAAAAGGCGGCGUAAGCUGUCGCUAUGGGAUGGCCCCGCGGUGCAUUAGCUAGUUGGUAAGGUAAAGGCUUACCAAGGCGAUGAUGCAUAGCCGAGUUGAGAGACUGAUCGGCCACAUUGGGACUGAGACACGGCCCAAACUCCUACGGGAGGCAGCAGUAGGGAAUCUUCCACAAUGGACGCAAGUCUGAUGGAGCAACGCCGCGUGAGUGAAGAAGGUUUUCGGAUCGUAAAGCUCUGUUGUUGGUGAAGAAGGAUAGAGGUAGUAACUGGCCUUUAUUUGACGGUAAUCAACCAGAAAGUCACGGCUAACUACGUGCCAGCAGCCGCGGUAAUACGUAGGUGGCAAGCGUUGUCCGGAUUUAUUGGGCGUAAAGCGAGCGCAGGCGGAAGAAUAAGUCUGAUGUGAAAGCCCUCGGCUUAACCGAGGAACUGCAUCGGAAACUGUUUUUCUUGAGUGCAGAAGAGGAGAGUGGAACUCCAUGUGUAGCGGUGGAAUGCGUAGAUAUAUGGAAGAACACCAGUGGCGAAGGCGGCUCUCUGGUCUGCAACUGACGCUGAGGCUCGAAAGCAUGGGUAGCGAACAGGAUUAGAUACCCUGGUAGUCCAUGCCGUAAACGAUGAGUGCUAAGUGUUGGGAGGUUUCCGCCUCUCAGUGCUGCAGCUAACGCAUUAAGCACUCCGCCUGGGGAGUACGACCGCAAGGUUGAAACUCAAAGGAAUUGACGGGGGCCCGCACAAGCGGUGGAGCAUGNGGUUUAAUUCGAAGCAACGCGAAGAACCUUACCAGGUCUUGACAUCUAGUGCCAUUUGUAGAGAUACAAAGUUCCCUUCGGGG